UACAGAGGUCCCAAGCGUUGUUCGGAUUCACUGGGCGUAAAGGGUGCGUAGGCGGCCGGGUAAGUCUGAUGUGAAAUCCCGCAGCUUAACUGCGGAACUGCAUCAGAUACUCUCCGGCUAGAGGAAUGGAGGGGAGACUGGAAUUCUCGGUGUAGCAGUGAAAUGCGUAGAUAUCGAGAGGAACACCAGUGGCGAAGGCGAGUCUCUGGACAUUUCCUAACGCUGAGGCACGAAAGCCAGGGGAGCAAACGGG
RNAcentral lists this ribosomal RNA (253 nucleotides) under uncultured bacterium. RNAcentral describes it as "partial 16S ribosomal RNA". It matches the Rfam family "Bacterial small subunit ribosomal RNA", at positions 524 to 776 of the family's 1533-position model. The record is from RNAcentral.